AUCUCUAGUGGAAACUUUUGAAUGACGUUGGGCAAACCCAUCCGGAUAACCACUUCGAUUCAAUUCUCGUCAUGCGUAUGGCCGGGCAUGUUGUAAAUGCCGGGUGAAAUUAGGAAUUGGAAUUCAAAAGAGGCAGCAGAAAAAAACACUCUCGCACGCUCACUGCCACAUGCAGCUUCCGGUUCGGUUUCUUCGUCGUCGGGUCGGCCUGAAAAAGACCAGUAGUGUAGUGCAGUUGCCGAGCGCCUCGCCAAAGGAACCGUGAGGAAAUGGAAAAUUGGAGCAUUUUAUUGUGCUUAAAUUGCGCCCCCUCCAUGCACAGCCGUAUGCACGGGUGCGUAGCCAAUCGAUCAGUACUGUCGGCAGGAGGGAACGAACAAGAUGCGGAUGCGGGAUUUACGUCAUCGCGCGUGGUUAUUGCAGUAUUGCGGGCGAUGCUGCUACGGUGCUGAAACGUCUACAGCAUAUGGUGCAAAUCGGCAUGACACGAACAUGCAAUGAUCGGAUGAUUCCCUUUUGGGAAGUCGGCCGUUUGCGUCGUACGACUGUUUGGAUUUGGAAGUAUUUAAUGCACGGGGUAUGGUUGAGCUGCUGUUAUGACGACACAGGAUCUGGAACUAUACAUCAAUCGGAGGGAUUGUCAGGCGUAACGUGGGGUUUAUUAAAAAAGCUGAAAUUUACUUGAUUUAAGGCGGUGACACUCUUUAGAUCAGUGUAAGGAACGUAAGGUGAGGGGGAUAAGUUAUUAGUUUAAUUGAUGGUCGAAUGGCUACCAAAUAUCCGAAUGUAACAAAUUUUCAAAUUUAGUUUUGUUUUAACCAAUUUCCGUUAUUGAUUGUACGAAAAUAACAAACAAUAUUCCAUUUGUUAUUGACAUAAUGAUUUGAAGACCAGGAACGCCAGGGCCUGAGCGACCAUAGUGAUAAAUAAUUGGAGGCUUUCCAAGAUGAAUAUCCUACCCUAACGCGACAACAAUUUGCGAUUUCGUGUGAAAUUACUGUCCUGGCUUGGUGCCUUUAAAACUGAUUCUGAGAGAUGUUUAUCUUUUUUUUAAAAACGAAGUGAAUCUAUUUUAAAUCAUUUUUUUUUCAAAUCCAUAAUGCAAAUGCAUAAGUUUUUGUUACGAAUGCUGUGCCUUUAUGUUUUGGCGAAUGUUAGUUAGAAGGAAUAAGUUAUAAUAAGUAAUAUAAAAAAAUGUAUUUAAUAAUAAAAAAAAUCUUCCAAUAGCA
This is a long non-coding RNA of Anopheles stephensi (Asian malaria mosquito), 1229 nucleotides long. RefSeq lists it as uncharacterized. Lineage: Eukaryota; Metazoa; Arthropoda; Insecta; Diptera; Culicidae. The transcript is spliced from 2 exons. The record is from RefSeq and is a predicted model, not a curated record.